RNAcentral lists this ribosomal RNA (417 nucleotides) under 2,4-D-degrading bacterium K712. RNAcentral describes it as "partial small subunit ribosomal RNA". Lineage: Bacteria; Pseudomonadati; Pseudomonadota; Betaproteobacteria; Burkholderiales. The record is from RNAcentral.
CCGGUGCUUAUUCUUCCGGUACCGUCAUCCCCCGGGCAUAUUAGGACCAGGGAUUUCUUUCCGGACAAAAGUGCUUUACAACCCGAAGGCCUUCUUCACACACGCGGGAUUGCUGGAUCAGGGUUGCGCCCAUUGUCCAAAAUUCCCCACUGCUGCCUCCCGUAGGAGUCUGGGCCGUGUCUCAGUCCCAGUGUGGCUGGUCGUCCUCUCAGACCAGCUACGGAUCGUCGCCUUGGUGAGCCUUUACCUCACCAACUAGCUAAUCCGCAUCGGCCGUCCCUAUAGGCGAGGUCCGAAGAUCCCCCGAUUUCAUCCGUAGAUCGUAUUGCGGGUAUUAAUCCCGGCUUUUCGGCGGGCUAUCCCCCACUACAGGACACGUCCCGAUGUAUUACUCAACCCGUUCGGCAAUUCGGCACC